RNAcentral lists this ribosomal RNA (429 nucleotides) under bacterium. Its description in RNAcentral is "partial 16S ribosomal RNA". It matches the Rfam family "Bacterial small subunit ribosomal RNA", at positions 355 to 776 of the family's 1533-position model. The record is from RNAcentral.
UAGGGAAUCUUCGGCAAUGGGGGCAACCCUGACCGAGCAACGCCGCGUGAGUGAAGAAGGUUUUCGGAUCGUAAAGCUCUGUUGUAAGAGAAGAACGUGUGUGAGAGUGGAAAGUUCACACAGUGACGGUAACUUACCAGAAAGGGACGGCUAACUACGUGCCAGCAGCCGCGGUAAUACGUAGGUCCCGAGCGUUGUACGGAUUUAUUGGGCGUAAAGCGAGCGCAGGCGGUUUAAUAAGUCUGAAGUUAAAGGCAGUGGCUUAACAAUUGUUCGCUUUGGAAACUGUUAAACUUGAGUGCAGAAGGGGAGAGUGGAAUUCCAUGUGUAGCGGUGAAAUGAGUAGAUAUAUGGAGAAACACCGGUGGCGAAAGCGGCUCUCUGGUCUGUAACUGACGCUGAGGCUCGAAAGCGUGGGGAGCAAACAGG